This 253-nucleotide ribosomal RNA is filed under the name uncultured bacterium. RNAcentral describes it as "partial 16S ribosomal RNA". It matches the Rfam family "Bacterial small subunit ribosomal RNA", at positions 524 to 776 of the family's 1533-position model. The record is from RNAcentral.
GACGAACCGUGCGAACGUUAUUCGGAAUCACUGGGCUUAAAGGGCGCGUAGGCGGGUUCACAAGUCUGUGGUGAAAUCCUCCAGCUUAACUGGAGAAGUGCCGUGGAUACUGUGAGUCUUGAGGAGGGUAGGGGCAUCUGGAACUGCCGGUGGAGCGGUGAAAUGCGUUGAUAUCGGCAGGAACUCCGGUGGCGAAGGCGAGAUGCUGGAUCCUUACUGACGCUGAGGCGCGAAAGCCAGGGGAGCAAACGGG